Molecule: ribosomal RNA, 492 nt
Filed under: uncultured bacterium
Lineage: Bacteria
Description: partial 16S ribosomal RNA
Rfam family: Bacterial small subunit ribosomal RNA
Source: RNAcentral
AGUGAACGCUGGCGGUAGGCCUAACACAUGCAAGUCGAACGGCAGCACAGUAAGAGCUUGCUCUUACGGGUGGCGAGUGGCGGACGGGUGAGGAAUACAUCGGAAUCUACUUUUUCGUGGGGGAUAACGUAGGGAAACUUACGCUAAUACCGCAUACGACCUACGGGUGAAAGCAGGGGAUCUUCGGACCUUGCGCGAUUGAAUGAGCCGAUGUCGGAUUAGCUAGUUGGCGGGGUAAAGGCCCACCAAGGCGACGAUCCGUAGCUGGUCUGAGAGGAUGAUCAGCCACACUGGAACUGAGACACGGUCCAGACUCCUACGGGAGGCAGCAGUGGGGAAUAUUGGACAAUGGGCGCAAGCCUGACCCAGCCAUACCGCGUGGGUGAAGAAGGCCUUCGGGUUGUAAAGCCCUUUUGUUGGGAAAGAAAAGCAGCAGGUGAAUACCCCGCUGUUCUGACGGUACCCAAAGAAUAAGCACCGGCUAACUUCGUG